UGAAGGAAAAAGAGAAGAGAGAAAAAAAGAAGAAUCUUGAAGACGCCAUUUUUCUGUCCUCGCUUGGAGCAGAUAGAGAUGAAACCGAACAAGAGCUCAGAUUGUAACGACAGCACCAGGAAUUGUUGCAUGUGGUCCUCCCAGAGGAACGGAAGACUUCUCUUUAUCCUAUAUGCUUCAAAGAAGUGGUAUGUACAUCUGCGCUCCUCUCCACUUAGCUGUGGCUGUAGGGUAAUGCUAGUUAAUGUGUCUUCCAGAUCAAGGAGGGGGGGGUGUCUCCACCGGAGACUCUGUUGUUCUGCUGCUUUUCUGCACUGUUCCAUUGGAUCUGUUUCCCUGUCGUUGACCCGGUGCUGGACCAUCAUCCGGCUCCAAGGCCUCUCCACCCUGCUGCUCGGGCUGGUUAAACGGGAUCAGCGGAGACCAUCGGGAGCGGCUUUUCUCACUCGCUCCUCUAGACUGAGUACCAGCGGAGGACCUACACCCGGCUGUGAGCUGACAGUGGUGGCCGAGCCCUGGUGGUAGUCCCAUCUGAUGGUGUGCGUGUGCUCCAGAGUCACUUCACCCCCCCAAUGCAUGCACGUGUGAUUGGGGUGAAAUUACUUGUGGUGGCCCCGCUCACCACAUAGGGAUUGGGGACUCUGGAGGAGGAGGACAAAGAGGGGACUCUGGAGGAGGAGGACAAAGAGGGGACUCUGGAGGAGGACGACGAGAAAGGAAACCUCACUUGGCAAUAAAAACAAUUCUGAUUUUAAUACUUUAAUACUAAUAAUAAGGGCCUGGGGUCUCAUUUAUCAAACAUUGCGUAGAAUCAUUACUAAAACCGUAUUUAAGCUCAGCAAAAAAAUGUACUCAUGCCAAGUAGGUUUGUGAUCUAUCAAACAUGGAGUACGCACAGCUGCACGCAAUCUCCGCUUCCUAAAUCGGAGACUAACAAGAAUGUUUCUCAGCUGCAUUUUAGUCACAUCCCACCCUCACCAUGCCCACUUACUGCCAUAAAUAGUCAAUGCAAAGGGCCUUGUGGAUCUCAUGCAUAUACAUAAGCCAGCUGUUGCAGCGUUCCACCAAUGACGAUGGCGACCGUAGAUCAAGGCAGAUCAAGGAAGCGCAAUUUCACAGAAGCAGAAAUUGAGGUACCUGUGGGUGAGGUGGAGAAAUGAAAGGAAGUGCUUCUGCAAAACGAGAAAAUCCACGGAGUGGCACAGCGUUGCUGAAGCCGUCAAUGUUGUGAGUUCUUCAGAGAGAUCUGUGGCGGGGAUGAAAAAAAAAAGGUCCAAUCGAGAUUCAAUCCCCAGACCCCCGGGUGAAAGUCACACGUGCUAAUCAGUCAGCCAAACGGAGAUCUCUCCUGUACAAGUAGCCAGGGUGCAUGAUCAAUCGGGUCACAGUGACAGGACACACACUGUCACAGACGCAUGACAUUCUGUUUCAAUCUGUCCCUCUGCUGAUAUUCUGCAUUCCGUAUUCUGCGUUUCAGGGUGUGUGUGUGUGUGAGCGCGCACACGCGUGUGUGCGUGUGGGGGGUCUUGUUCUGUCUGAAAACGAAGCGGUACAAGUGAUAGUGCUGCAGGAUUUCAUAAUUUUAUCCUUCUCAGCAGCAGCAUUGCAGGUGCUCUCCAUGUCCAACAUGUGCGUAAGCCAGGUCCUUAGUCAACUUAAAGUUGCGCACAUUUUUCCGCUAAGUUUUCUUUCAUAAAUCCUAAAGUUUGCGUGGAAAGUUGCUUACGCAGUUUUCCGACCCCGUUUUGUGCGUAAGCAAGCUUGAUAAAUAGGCCCCAGUUUAUUAACUUUCAAGACUUAAAGAGUGACCGCGCAGACACCCUGUUCUUAUUAAGCAUAUCUAAAUUAUUAGGCCCUCAAAAAUAGAUUUAGUUAGCUAAUGAAACAAAGUAAUUUAUAUUAAAAUAAAGCACAUCAGCUCACCUUGUCAUUUGUAACAGGAAUUGUGUUGACAAGCUUUCUAAAAGCUGGUGAGUCCACAAUUGAAAGGGGCUGCAUGUCUUCUACGAUGAACUCCGCAAAUAACCUCUUCACCUCACGUGGAUCUAGUAGCUUCGGAGACUGUGAAUUCUAAAGUUUGUUGCUUCUGUCUUUUGCUUGGAGUGUCAUUGUUCUCUUCUGGGAACUUUCUCUUGUCUGAUGGUCCAGAGCAUCUCUGUCAACAGUGUGUUACCAUGACAUCGCUGAAUGUGUUUUUUUUUUUUUUUUCAAAUUACUGGUGCUGUUUGGUGAAGUUGAAAGCUCCUUUGACGUAGCACACAAAUUGCACUUUUCUAUAAUGAUUCUGUCCUUUUCUUUCACAAACUGAAAAUAGUGUGAAUAAUACCACCGAGUAAAUGUGCAGUCGAUCUCCGUUUCUUUCUCAGUCAUCCUUCCUGAUUCUCUCAUGGUUUGGUUUUGGGUUUUGAGUCACGCGCAAUGGUUGUGCGAGCUAGAUGUACAACAAGCCACUGGAAGUGCGUAGCGGAUCGUCUUCAAUGGUAUUCAACUUGUUUUGGUCUGCAGCAUAUUUUUCAUGCGUAACAUCAUCAAUUCAAACCUAAAUGUGCUUGUAACUCGUGUUACCGAAAUUGUAACUAGUAAUAUUUUGCCGUGUACUUUUUAAGUAAUGCACUAUAUUACUCCGUCACUGAAAAAAGGAAUAUAUUACUUUAACUCCCUACUAUCGUAAUGUGUUACUCCCAACACUGGUUAAGGGUGUAGAUCCAGAAAGCUUCUCUGCGUAAAAGGCCGUUAAUAAUAUUACAACCUCUAGAGGGAAGAGUAACAGCUUCUAUACCCCCAGAGUCUUAAAGAUGCUACCGACCCGUGACUUAUAGCGCAGCGCCAUGGUGUAUUGCUGUUUUAGGUUCUCCUAUUCUGAGUUUAAGAGAUUGUUUAGUUUGUCCCACAUAUGCCAGACCACACGGGCAUUUAAGCAGGUAGUUCACAUGAGUGCUAAUGCAGUUAAUAAUGUUUCUUGCCAGUGUGUAGAUGUGUAAAGUAUUUCCCUAGCCGUAAAGAGGCUGUAAAAUCACAGACUGAUAGUGACCUGGCUUUGUUGCUACUUGACUUGUAAGUAAUAAUAUUUCUCAAUAACUUCGGAGACCAUCUUGAAUAAGGCUGACUCUCCGAAGGUUUAUCAGUCGAUCAUGAUGUGCAUUGAUUUUCUUGAGUUUUAGGCAUAUACAGUAGUUGCGUCUUUGGUUUUAUGGCUUCUAAGCUUAUAUCUGUGUUUUUGUGUUUUUUAUGAAUUUUUUAUUGUAUUUACUGUUCUAUGAAAGUGUGAAAGAUGAGGUGGAUGAUGAUGAGCCCUGUUGAAAGACAAAUUUCUGUAACCGCUUGGUGUCAGUUUUUCCACUCUAUUCUUAUUUUCUGAGUUUCAUUAAAAUUUAUCCUUUUGAGAUAAUUUGUUACAGUCACUGGAGAAAAAAAACCUAAAACUGGAAAAUACACAGAUUUUCCCUUUUAUUAUUUAAACAUUUGUAUAAUGAGGGAAUAAAAAAAGCUAAUUUCCCUGACUGAAAUUUAAAAUCAUUCUGUCUAUUCAGCAAGUAACUGUAAACACACACACACACGUACACGCUGAAGAUACACACACACUCACACACACUGAACUUUGAGGAUUAGCAAGUCAGCAGACAGUGUUGUGCAUGUAUUUGGUCGUCAGUUUCAUGCAAGUGAAGAGAAAAGAGGAAGCAGGCUGUUCAUGCAAACAGGAUGUGACCUGUGAAAUGUAGUUUACAAGCUUGUAUGCUAUUGCUUGAGACAAAAAUGUGGGUUUGAAUUUACUUUUAAGGGUCUGCAAAUUUCUAUCUGAACUUGAAAAAUAAAUCAUAAACAAAAUCUUGUUUAAAAAAAAAAGAUGCUUUUUCUAAACAAAAAAAUCCAAGUAAAAAGAUGCGGGUCCCAAAGCAAAGCCACAUGAUAUACUUGAACUCCUGCGGUCUUUGUGGGUCAUCUCCUCUGAAACUAUUUUAAUAGUUUAACAUUGCAAAGCGUGACACACAUGCAACUCCAAGUGCGUGAGCAGAAACCUAAACCAUCAUGUUUAAAUUUAACAACCUUGUUGAAAAUUUUCUUUGCAGUUUGUUACGCACUUCAGGAACCAGAAUCUGAGCACAGGGAACAAAAACCCAACGCACCAAUCAGCCACUAGUAUUUUUAUGGGCUAUGGAAAAACAACUAUGCACAGUCACAAGGAUAAUAUUAUGCACAAUUGCAUGCAUGAAUUUAUUUGAAUGUUUUUCUGUAACCGAAUGUGGAUACAGAUUUUGUGAUUAUGCAGUGACUCUUGGCCUACUUUUAAACGGAAACUGACCGAUGGUUUAAAAUAAAUGUAAUUAUACAUUUCUUGUUUAAUACUGUAUAUUUAGUACUGUGUGUUAUCACUAUGGCAUCUCAAAUAAUAAAAUGUGUUGUCAAAUUGUCUUUA
Non-coding RNA from Nothobranchius furzeri (turquoise killifish), 4414 nucleotides. The record is from RefSeq and is a predicted model, not a curated record. Lineage: Eukaryota; Metazoa; Chordata; Actinopteri; Cyprinodontiformes; Nothobranchiidae.